CCCUUUUCUCCUGCGACCCCAAUCUGGCCUGGCUCUCCCUUUAUUCCAGGUGGUCCAUCCCUUCCUGGCAGUCCAUGAGGUCCAGGAGGUCCCAUUUCUCCUGGCUUGCCUCGUGGUCCCUUUUCUCCAUCAUGGCCUGGAGGACCCGGUAAGCCAAUUUCACCCUUCUGUCCUGGUGGCCCUGGAGGUCCAGCCACACCUGGAAGUCCUGGCGGUCCCAUCAAGGCCAAGGUUCGUAUUUCCUGGAGAGCUUCACUGAUGUUACCAUCAUAGUCCAUCAUUUCAUCCUUUCCAGGCUCUCCUUUGGGGCCCCUUGGCCCCAUGGGUCCCUGCUCUCCCGGUGCACCACGUUCUCCCU
This 358-nucleotide long non-coding RNA is filed under the name Gallus gallus (chicken). The record is from RNAcentral. Lineage: Eukaryota; Metazoa; Chordata; Aves; Galliformes; Phasianidae.